GUUAAAUCCUUCUAAACGAUCUCACUUGAUCCCUUCAAAUCAUUAGCAGUGUCACUUUGGGGUCCUAACGGUGAAGGGCUGUGUAAUUUAGCAAGCCAUCUCCAGUGUCCUAUCGCAGCCCGGGCAGGGAUACUUAACGUUCUAUUUGCAUUCUAAAGAGAGAGAGAGCGCGAUCUUGCAUUAUGCCUGCACUAGGAGAUCUACUCUAUGCAUCAGGCAGUCUGGGGACCUCUGAAAGCAAGCACUAUUCCAACUGACAGCCCAAGCAAAAAGAAACUCACCCUCCCCAAAAUUUUGAAACGAUAAUAAACAAAAUCCAGAUACAAACUGAGCCACCGGCUUAGUGUAGAUCUGCUGGAUCCCUUGUCUGGGGCAGGAUCGGGCACAUAUCCGGUGUGACAUGCUGUUUUCCCUGACAGCUAGCGGUGUAACUGCAGCAGACAGAACUCCCUGUCCUCCCGCCGCCAGCACUGAGCCCCACGCCUAGGACAGUGCAGGACAGCGAGUGGAUCCCACCUCCUGCUUUACAUAACAUCUGACCAUGGGAAGCGCGUGUUGUGGACCCACCGGCGAAGAUCUAACACGGAGAACUUAUUGAUCCCCCCACCUCCCAAGGGAUCCCCCCCAUCAAGAAUCGAUCCAUCAUUUCGGGACCACGUUGUGCUGUCAGUUUUUUGCAGACAAAACCACUGAGACGUUUUUUUUCCUUUCCCUCCUGG
This 719-nucleotide long non-coding RNA is filed under the name Pelobates cultripes (western spadefoot toad). The record is from RNAcentral. Lineage: Eukaryota; Metazoa; Chordata; Amphibia; Anura; Pelobatidae.